This 254-nucleotide ribosomal RNA is filed under the name uncultured bacterium. Its description in RNAcentral is "partial 16S ribosomal RNA". It matches the Rfam family "Bacterial small subunit ribosomal RNA", at positions 524 to 776 of the family's 1533-position model. The record is from RNAcentral.
UACGAAGGGGGCUAGCGUUGUUCGGAUUUACUGGGCGUAAAGCGCACGUAGGCGGAUCUUUAAGUCAGAGGUGAAAUCCCAAGGCUCAACCUUGGAACUGCCUUUGAUACUGGGGAUCUCGAGUCCGGAAGAGGUGAGUGGAACUGCGAGUGUAGAGGUGAAAUUCGUAGAUAUUCGCAAGAACACCAGUGGCGAAGGCGGCUCACUGGCCCCGAUACUGACGCUGAGGCACGAAAGCGUGGGGAGCAAACAGG